Molecule: ribosomal RNA, 400 nt
Filed under: uncultured bacterium
Lineage: Bacteria
Description: bacterial SSU rRNA
Rfam family: Bacterial small subunit ribosomal RNA
Source: RNAcentral
UGAGGAAUAUUGCACAAUGGGCGCAAGCCUGAUGCAGCGACGCCGCGUGGGUGAAGAAGGUUUUCGGAUCGUAAAACCCUUUUCUGUGUGACGAGAGAGGACGGUAGCACAGGAAUAAGUCUCGGCUAACUACGUGCCAGCAGCCGCGGUAAAACGUAGGAGACAAACGUUAUCCGGAGUUACUGGGCGUAAAGGGCGUGUAGGUGGUUGCGUAAGUCUGGCGUGAAAUACUUCGGCUUAACCGGGGCAGGUCGUCGGAUACUGCGUAACUAGAGGACGGUAGAGGCGUGUGGAAUUCCGGGUGUAGUGGUGAAAUGCGUAGAGAUCCGGAGGAACACCAGUGGCGAAGGCGACACGCUGGGCCGUACCUGACACUGAGGCGCGAUAGCAUGGGGAGCAA